RNAcentral lists this ribosomal RNA (345 nucleotides) under uncultured bacterium. Its description in RNAcentral is "bacterial SSU rRNA". It matches the Rfam family "Bacterial small subunit ribosomal RNA", at positions 8 to 350 of the family's 1533-position model. The record is from RNAcentral.
AGAGUUUAAUCCUGGCUCAGGAUGAACGCUAGCUACAGGCUUAACACAUGCAAGUCGAGGGGCAGCAUGUUGGUUGCUUGCAACCAAUGAUGGCGACCGGCGCACGGGUGAGUAACGCGUAUCCAACCUACCCUUGUCCAUCGGAUAACCCGUCGAAAGGCGGCCUAACACGAUAUGCGGUUCACAGCAGGCAUCUAAGGUGAACGAAAUGUGAAGGAGAAGGAUGGGGAUGCGUCUGAUUAGCUUGUUGGCGGGUAACGCCACAAGGCGACGAUCAGUAGGGGUUCUGAGAGGAAGGUCCCCCANAUUGGAACUGAGACACGGUCCAAACGUCCUACGGGAGCA